GAUCGCCUACGAUAUCUCCCAUUCAGCGUCGAUAGUGAAAGCUGUAAAGACGGUGCCUAUAGAGAUAGGAAGAGAGCGCGGCCGACGAGAAGCCGAAGACAGCGGCUGUGCUCACGGGGCAGCGCGCACUUCGAUUUAAUACCUCUCUGUCCUCGCACGGCUUCUUUCUCAGGCACAGAGAUUUACUUCAACUCGAGUGCGUGCGUGCAAAGAGUGCCGCCAUGCUCCAUCGGUCAUUCGCUUCGCUCUUCCUGAAGGGCAUCUUCAAAGUCAAUAAGCCCCCCGUUACGGGCUACGAGAUCGCCGAGCUACCCAAUGAGAAAGUGCUUCAUGACUUCAUGCAGUUCUACCGCACAAAGGGGGUGGUGGUCGUUCUGCACAGUGGCGCCUCGUAUGCCGCAGCCGCUGCGGCCUCCUCCGGCGGGUCGCGCUCGACCCUGACGAGUGCGUCAGCCAACUCUUCUGGAAAAGCUCACUCAGCCGCGACAGCGAAGUCGGCAUCGACGCCAAAGCCCAAGACGGAACUACUGCAGGACCCUCUUACUCGAUCAUUCAUCUCUUCCAUCAACGCGAUGAACUUAGGCAAUCCAGAGGAAGUAAAGCUGGCCCUUGUUCCCGGGCCGCAAGCGCCGUGCUUCGUAGAGGAGCACAACGUCAUCACGUACCCGACCUCGUUGCUGUUCUUGAAUGGGCAAUGCAUUUAUCGCGUCGUUGGUGCGCGGACGCGUGAGCUGUCCAUCAAGUCCCUUUUCAUGCUGCGCAAUGGAGGGCGAAACAUUUUUUCGCGCGACUAGGUCCAUUUAGUGUGCACUUGUGCUACAGAGCAUGUGAGGACUGCCUUUGCAUGUGGUAACGAAGUCACGCGGCGCUCACGCAGGGUGGUGACGCGAAACAUACCUGCAUGGGUUAUAUGCGACGGUUGAGCGGUGCCGGUAUUGUUUAUCCCGUCGUUUAGGGAGGCACACUCUUUCCUACUACCUCCUUUGCCCUACCGAGACGGGUUUGGUGGACCGCUCGUAUGGCGGUGUUUUGCUCCUCACAGAAGGGGGCUAGUUCGGGUAAGAGUAACGUCAGUAGAGAAAUGCAAGGAGCACGGCGAGUCGUGCUCUUGUUUCGUGAAGUCGACUGGUGUUCUGGAGAGCAGAGGAGAGAUGCAGAUUGGGCAGCGAGGGGUGUGUCUUUGUCGACGGGCAUCCAACUGCGCUCUCUUGCUACGCGGAAUGCAGAGGGCCCUCUGCAUAUACGACAGUACUGAAUCCGCGAACGCUUGGUGAUCUACCCGUCCUUCCUCGCACUUACGUGCAUGGCUCUCUGGUCGAAAA
This 1322-nucleotide unclassified non-coding RNA is filed under the name Leishmania donovani. RNAcentral describes it as "gene:LdHU3.34.4750(CDS-product:hypothetical_prote in_conserved)". Lineage: Eukaryota; Euglenozoa; Kinetoplastea; Trypanosomatida; Trypanosomatidae. The record is from RNAcentral.